This is a long non-coding RNA of Bacillus rossius redtenbacheri, 649 nucleotides long. RefSeq lists it as uncharacterized. The transcript has 3 exons. Lineage: Eukaryota; Metazoa; Arthropoda; Insecta; Phasmatodea; Bacillidae. The record is from RefSeq and is a predicted model, not a curated record.
AAAUGCAGCCCCUGGCAAUGUCCUUACAAAUUUGGUUCUGGAUGCUAUUGUGAAACUAGAUGCAGCUGGUCUGUUUGUAGACUGCGUAGUGUGUGAUGGAGCAACAACAAACCGUUCAAUGUGGAAAAAGUUUGGUAUUGGCAUAAAAGAUGAGAAGAAAGUUUGUAAUUCAGUUACCCACCCAUGUAGUGAAACAGGCGACAGAAAGUUAUAUUUCAUUUCUGAUGGUCCACACUUGUUUAAGUGCAUAAGAAACAGAUGGCUUAAAUCACGUGUAUUUAAGAUCGGGAUGGAAGAAGCAUGCAUGAACCACUUGGAACUUCUACUGAAGUAUGACAGUAAAGCGGCAGGCCUAAGAAUGGCCCCAAAUUUAACAUAUAAACAUGUGCAGCCAAAUAAUUUCCAGAAAAUGAGUGUUACUCUCAUGAAGCAGCUUUUCAGCAUGGAAACAGCUGCAGCUUUGAAGUUUUACAGUAACAAGCCUGGUCUAGAAAAUAUUUCUGGCACUGUAAAUUACAUAGAAAAAGUUGCACAAGUUUAUUCCAUACUAGACAACAACAAACCAUGGAAAGGCCUGACUGUUGGAUCAGAUGAUGAAAAGGUAAAACUCUAAAUUUUGAAAUAUUUCAAUAUUAUGUCUGUACAUAAC